This 468-nucleotide ribosomal RNA is filed under the name uncultured bacterium. Its description in RNAcentral is "partial 16S ribosomal RNA". It matches the Rfam family "Bacterial small subunit ribosomal RNA", at positions 28 to 507 of the family's 1533-position model. The record is from RNAcentral.
GACGAACGCUGGCGGCGUGCUUAACACAUGCAAGUCGAACGGAAAGUCCCUGCUUUUGUGGGGUGCUCGAGUGGCGAACGGGGGAGUAACACGUGAGUAACCUGCCCCUGACUUUGGGAUAACUUCAGGAAACUGGGGCUAAUACCGGAUAGGAGCUUCUGCUGCAUGUUGGGGGUUGGAAAGUUUCGGCGGUUGUGGAUGGACUCGCGGCUUAUCAGCUUGUUGGUGGGGUUGUGGCUUACCAGGGCUUUGACGGGUAGCCGGCCUGAGAGGGCGAGCGGACACACUGGGACUGAGAUACGGCCCAGACUCCUACGGGAGGCAGCAGUGGGGAAUAUUGCACAAUGGGCGGAAGCCUGAUGCAGCAAAGCCGCGUGCGGGAUGACGGCCUUCGGGUUGUAAACCGCUUUCGCCUGUGACGAAGCGUGAGUGACGGUACUGGGUAAAGAAGCACCGGCUAACUACGUG